GCGCACGUGGCGGAAUGGUAGACGCGCUACCUUGAGGUGGUAGUACCUAUAUUUUUUGGUGUGGAGGUUCAACUCCUCUCGUGCGCACCA
Molecule: transfer RNA, 90 nt
Filed under: Candidatus Altimarinota bacterium
Lineage: Bacteria; Candidatus Altimarinota
Description: tRNA-Leu
Rfam family: tRNA
About the family: Transfer RNA (tRNA) molecules are approximately 80 nucleotides in length. Their secondary structure includes four short double-helical elements and three loops (D, anti-codon, and T loops). Further hydrogen bonds mediate the characteristic L-shaped molecular structure. tRNAs have two regions of fundamental functional importance: the anti-codon, which is responsible for specific mRNA codon recognition, and the 3' end, to which the tRNAs corresponding amino acid is attached (by aminoacyl-tRNA synthetases). tRNAs cope with the degeneracy of the genetic code in two manners: having more than one tRNA (with a specific anti-codon) for a particular amino acid; and 'wobble' base-pairing, i.e. permitting non-standard base-pairing at the 3rd anti-codon position.
Source: RNAcentral